GACGAACGCUGGCGGCGUGCUUAACACAUGCAAGUCGAGCGGUAAGGCCCUUUCGGGGGUACGACGAGCGGCGAACGGGUAGAGUAACACGUGGGUGGACCUGCCCUCCAGCUCUGGGAGUAAGCCUGGGAAACCGGGUCUAAUACUGGAUAUGACUCCAUGACGCAUGUUGUGGGGUGGAAAGCCUUGUGCGGCUGAGGAUGGGCCCGCGGCCUAUCAGCUUGUUGGUGGGGUGAGGCCUACCAAGGCGACGACGGGUAGCCGGCCUGAGAGGGCGACCGGCCACACUGGGACUGAGAC
RNAcentral lists this ribosomal RNA (300 nucleotides) under uncultured bacterium. RNAcentral describes it as "bacterial SSU rRNA". It matches the Rfam family "Bacterial small subunit ribosomal RNA", at positions 28 to 325 of the family's 1533-position model. The record is from RNAcentral.